RNAcentral lists this ribosomal RNA (301 nucleotides) under uncultured bacterium. RNAcentral's name for it is "partial 16S ribosomal RNA". It matches the Rfam family "Bacterial small subunit ribosomal RNA", at positions 509 to 807 of the family's 1533-position model. The record is from RNAcentral.
CAGCAGCCACGGUAAUACGGAGGGUGCAAGCGUUACUCGGAAUCACUGGGCGUAAAGGACGCGUAGGCGGAUUAUCAAGUCUCUUGUGAAAUCUAACGGCUUAACCGUUAAACUGCUUGGGAAACUGAUAAUCUAGAGUAAGGGAGAGGCAGAUGGAAUUCUUGGUGUAGGGGUAAAAUCCGUAGAGAUCAAGAAGAAUACCCAUUGCGAAAGCGAUCUGCUGGAACUUAACUGACGCUAAUGCGUGAAAGCGUGGGGAGCAAACAGGAUUAGAUACCCCCGUAGUCCCUGUCUCUUAUAC